GUUGGAUCCCUGCCUCGUGCGGCGACGUCCAAUCUUGCUAUCCUCUUCAUUGUUGGCACAAUUUUCUUUGUCCGUCUUUUGGUUUCCUGUGUUGUGUACCUACUCGAUGGAAUUCGGCUGUCAAUCUCUCGAUGUUCGCCUAAGGCUGUCUCGUUGCGGUCGCGGGUGAAACUCAAAACGAUAUUCGUGUCCCCCGUGCUGUACGCUUUGCGUCGGUUCCGUGGUACAUGAAUUCUCGUUUGGACGCUGGGAUGCAGAAAACAAUUAGGGCAUGGAGUCACCGGCUCCUAUCUGUCUGCAAAGGCUUGAAGGCCCGUUUCGAACGACUUUCGG
This 333-nucleotide unclassified non-coding RNA is filed under the name Galianthe palustris. RNAcentral's name for it is "partial external transcribed spacer". The record is from RNAcentral. Lineage: Eukaryota; Viridiplantae; Streptophyta; Magnoliopsida; Gentianales; Rubiaceae.